Molecule: microRNA precursor, 62 nt
Filed under: Pongo abelii (Sumatran orangutan)
Lineage: Eukaryota; Metazoa; Chordata; Mammalia; Primates; Hominidae
Description: miRNA
Source: RNAcentral
UAGAUAACAUCGUAACGCGCUUCGUUAGCGGUUGGUUGGAGCAACUCUUUACAAUGUUUCUA